RNAcentral lists this unclassified non-coding RNA (623 nucleotides) under Burkholderia glumae. Its description in RNAcentral is "partial contains 16S ribosomal RNA, 16S-23S ribosomal RNA intergenic spacer, and 23S ribosomal RNA; also has tRNA-Ile and tRNA-Ala". The stretch from base 102 to 175 matches the Rfam family "tRNA". The record is from RNAcentral. Lineage: Bacteria; Pseudomonadati; Pseudomonadota; Betaproteobacteria; Burkholderiales; Burkholderiaceae.
UAGCCGUAUCGGAAGGUGCGGCUGGAUCACCUCCUUUCUCGAGCUUAUUCCGCAUACAUUGAGCGUUCACGCUUAUCGGCUGUUGAUCAAGACAGACUCAGGGGUCUGUAGCUCAGUCGGUUAGAGCACCGUCUUGAUAAGGCGGGGGUCGUUGGUUCGAAUCCAACCAGACCCACCAAUUGUCUGACACGGAACACCUGGGUAGUCUCUGUAGGGAAGGGGGCAUAGCUCAGCUGGGAGAGCACCUGCUUUGCAAGCAGGGGGUCGUCGGUUCGAUCCCGUCUGCCUCCACCAAUCUUCAAUGACAAACGUUCAGGGAUACUGAGCAGUUGUCAUUGGCGAUUGAGCCAGUCAGAGGAUGAGCGAGAAGUAGCGCUUAUCGGCUGUCGUUCUUUAACAAUCUGGAAGAAGUAGUAAAGUGGAUAGCGGAAGCGCUUAUUUGAGAUGGGCGUGGAAGUUAUCCGGGUUGUGAUUGUAUCGAUGUAUCUCAAGAUGAUUCGAACGCAAGUUCGGCUCAAUUGGAAUACGGCACAAAUGCGAGAACUCAACCUGUAGCGGCUGUCAUCUCCUUCGGGAGAGCGAGACAGACUCGUUAUAGGGUCAAGCGAACAAGUGCAUGUGGU